ACGCUGGCGGCAGGCUUACACAUGCAAGUCGAACGGUAACAGGAGAAAGCUUGCUUUCUUGCUGACGAGUGGCGGACGGGUGAGUAAUGCUUGGGAAUCUGGCUUAUGGAGGGGGAUAACGACGGGAAACUGUCGCUAAUACCGCGUAGAGUCGAGAGACGAAAGUGCGGGACCGCAAGGCCGCAUGCCAUAGGAUGAGCCCAAGUGGGAUUAGGUAGUUGGUGGGGUAAAGGCCUACCAAGCCGACGAUCUCUAGCUGGUCUGAGAGGAUGACCAGCCACACCGGGACUGAGACACGGCCCGGACUCCUACGGGAGGCAGCAGUGGGGAAUAUUGCGCAAUGGGGGCAACCCUGACGCAGCCAUGCCGCGUGAAUGAAGAAGGCCUUCGGGUUGUAAAGUUCUUUCGGUAUUGAGGAAGGUUGUUGUGUUAAUAGCACGACAGAUUGACGUUAAAUACAGAAGAAGCACCGGCUAACUCCGUGCCAGCAGCCGCGGUAAUACGGAGGGUGCGAGCGUUAAUCGGAAUAACUGGGCGUAAAGGGCACGCAGGCGGACUUUUAAGUGAGGUGUGAAAUCCCCGGGCUUAACCUGGGAAUUGCAUUUCAGACUGGGAGUCUAGAGUACUUUAGGGAGGGGUAGAAUUCCACGUGUAGCGGUGAAAUGCGUAGAGAUGUGGAGGAAUACCGAAGGCGAAGGCAGCCCCUUGGGAAUGUACUGACGCUCAUGUGCGAAAGCGUGGGGAGCAAACAGGAUUAGAUACCCUGGUAGUCCACGCUGUAAACGCUGUCGAUUUGGGGAUUGGGCCUUGAGCUUGGUGCCCGAAGCUAACGUGAUAAAUCGACCGCCUGGGGAGUACGGCCGCAAGGUUAAACUCAAAUGAAUUGACGGGGGCCCGCACAAGCGGUGG
This 909-nucleotide ribosomal RNA is filed under the name uncultured bacterium. Its description in RNAcentral is "bacterial SSU rRNA". It matches the Rfam family "Bacterial small subunit ribosomal RNA", at positions 33 to 935 of the family's 1533-position model. The record is from RNAcentral.